This 376-nucleotide ribosomal RNA is filed under the name uncultured bacterium. RNAcentral describes it as "bacterial SSU rRNA". It matches the Rfam family "Bacterial small subunit ribosomal RNA", at positions 524 to 898 of the family's 1533-position model. The record is from RNAcentral.
UACGUAGGGUGCGAGCGUUAAUCGGAAUUACUGGGCGUAAAGCGUGCGCAGGCGGUUGAUUAAGACAGGCGUGAAAUCCCCGGGCUUAACCUGGGAACUGCGCUUGUGACUGGUCAGCUAGAGUACGGCAGAGGGGGGUGGAAUUCCACGUGUAGCAGUGAAAUGCGUAGAGAUGUGGAGGAACACCGAUGGCGAAGGCAGCCCCCUGGGCCGAUACUGACGCUCAUGCACGAAAGCGUGGGUAGCAAACAGGAUUAGAUACCCUGGUAGUCCACGCCCUAAACGAUGUCAACUAGUUGUUGGGAGGGUAAAACCUUUUAGUAACGUAGCUAACGCGUGAAGUUGACCGCCUGGGGAGUACGGCCGCAAGGCUAAA